This 37-nucleotide transfer RNA is filed under the name Fragaria x ananassa subsp. cuneifolia. Its description in RNAcentral is "partial tRNA-Lys". Lineage: Eukaryota; Viridiplantae; Streptophyta; Magnoliopsida; Rosales; Rosaceae. The record is from RNAcentral.
UUGUUGCUAACUCAACGGUAGAGUACUCGGCUUUUAA